CAGUAACGGCGAGUGAAGCGGCAACAGCUCAAAUUUGAAAUCUGGCUCCUUCGGGGUCCGAAUUGUAAUUUGUAGAGAGUGCUUCGGGCGAGACCUCGGUCUAAGUCCAUUGGAACAUGGUGUCAUAGAGGGUGAGAAUCCCGUAUGCGACCGUGGCUCGAGCCCAUGUGAAGCCUCUUCGACGAGUCGAGUUGUUUGGGAAUGCAGCUCAAAACGGGUGGUAAAUUUCAUCCAAAGCUAAAUACUGGCUGGAGACCGAUAGCGCACAAGUAGAGUGAUCGAAAGAUGAAAAGCACUUUGGAAAGAGAGUCAAACAGUACGUGAAAUUGUUGAAAGGGAAGCGCUUGCAACCAGACCUGCCCGUAGGCGAUCAGCCGCUGUUCUCAGCGGUGCACUCGCUCUGCGAUCAGGCCAGCAUCGGUUUCGGCGGUCGGAUAAAGGCCUUUGGAAUGUAGCUUCCCUUCGGGGAAGUCUUAUAGCCCUCGGUGCAAUGCGGCCAGCCGGGACCGAGGACCGCGCUUCGGCUAGGAUGCUGGCGUAAUGGUUGUAAGCGACCCGUCUUGAAACACGGACCAAGGAGUCUAACAUCUAUGCGAGUGUUUGGGUGUCAAACCCAUACGCGGAAUGAAAGUGAACGGAGGUGAGAACCCUUAAGGGCGCAUCAUCGACCGAUCCAGAUGUCUUCGGAUGGAUUUGAGUAUGAGCAUAGCUGUUGGGACCCGAAAGAUGGUGAACUAUGCCUGAAUAGGGUGAAGCCAGAGGAAACUCUGGUGGAGGCUCGCAGCGGUUCUGACGUGCAAAUCGAUCGUCAAAUUUGGGUAUAGGGGCGAAAGACUAAUC
RNAcentral lists this ribosomal RNA (840 nucleotides) under Xanthoparmelia chlorochroa. RNAcentral describes it as "eukaryotic LSU rRNA". It matches the Rfam family "Eukaryotic large subunit ribosomal RNA", at positions 81 to 936 of the family's 3401-position model. Lineage: Eukaryota; Fungi; Ascomycota; Lecanoromycetes; Lecanorales; Parmeliaceae. The record is from RNAcentral.